RNAcentral lists this ribosomal RNA (1322 nucleotides) under metagenome. Its description in RNAcentral is "SSU rRNA". It matches the Rfam family "Eukaryotic small subunit ribosomal RNA", at positions 358 to 1722 of the family's 1831-position model. The record is from RNAcentral.
GGUAACGAAGAAUUAGGGUUCGAUUUCGGAGAGGGAGCAUGAGAAACGGCUACCACAUCUAAGGAAGGCAGCAGGCGCGUAAAUUACCCAAUCCUGACUCAGGGAGGUAGUGACAAGAAAUAGCAAACCGGGGAUCUCACGAUCUUACGGUAUUGCAAUGAGAACAAUUUAAAACACUUAGCGAGGAACAAAUUGAGGACAAGUCUGGUGCCAGCACCCGCGGUAAUUCCAGCUCAAUUAGCGUAUAUUAAAGUUGUUGCAGUUAAAAAGCUCGUAGUUGAACCUCUGUUUGGGACUAAUUUUGGCUUCUGUCAGGUUAGUUUCAAGCAUCCGCUUGCAAAACCUAGCCGUCAUUCACUUGUCGCUAGGAGGAGCAGGCAUUUUACUUUGAAAAAAUUAGAGUGUUUAAGGCAGGCAAUUGCCCGCAUAUAUUAGCAUGGAAUAAUAGAAUAGGACACUUUUCCAUUUCGUUGGUUAUUGGAAUCGUGUAAUGACUAAUAGGGACAGUUGUGGGCAUUUGUAUUUAAUUGUCAGAGGUGAAAUUCUUGGAUUUAUUAAAGACAAACUAACGCGAAAGCAUUUGCCAAGGAUGUUUUCAUUAAUCAAGAACGAAAGUUAGGGGAUCAAAGACGAUCAGAUACCGUCAUAGUCUUAACUAUAAACUAUUCCGACUCAAUGUUCGACUGGCUUAUAUAACCAGUUGAGCGUUGUAUGAGAAAUCAAAGUCUUUAGGUUCUGGGGGGAGUAUGGUUGCAAAGCUGAAACUUAAAGGAAUUGACGGAAGAGCACAACCAGGAGUGGAUUCUGCGGCUUAAUUUGACUCAACACGGGGAAACUUACCAGGUUAAAACAGUAGUGGGAUUGACAGUUUGAGAGCGCUUUCUUGAUUCGUUGGGUGGUGGUGCAUGGCCGUUCUUAGUUGGUGGAGUGGUUUGUCUGCUUAAUUGCGUUAACGAACGAGACCUUAACCUGCUUACUAGACUGCCGAUGUAUAAUCGACAGCUCUUCUUAGAGGGACUUUGGUUGUUUUAACUCCAAGGAAGUUUGAGGCAAUAACAGGUCUGUGAUGCCCUUAGAUAUCCUGGGCCGCACGCGUCAUACAAUGACCAGUUCAGAAAGUUUCAUCCUGAUCCGGAAGGAUACGGGUAAUCUUGACAGUACUGGUCGUGUUAGGGAUCGAUCUUUGCAAUUAUAGAUUUUGAACGAGGAAUUCCUAGUAAGUGCAGUUCAUCAGACUGUACUGAUUACGUCCCUGCUCUUUGUACACACCGCCCGUCGCUUCUACCGAGUGAGUGGUCCGGUGAGAUACUUGAACUUGGCCU